RNAcentral lists this transfer RNA (73 nucleotides) under Phycisphaerae bacterium. Its description in RNAcentral is "tRNA-Ala". It matches the Rfam family "tRNA". From Rfam's summary of the family: Transfer RNA (tRNA) molecules are approximately 80 nucleotides in length. Their secondary structure includes four short double-helical elements and three loops (D, anti-codon, and T loops). RNAcentral also lists the same sequence under 3 other names. Lineage: Bacteria; Pseudomonadati; Planctomycetota; Phycisphaerae. The record is from RNAcentral.
GGGGCCAUAGCGCAGUUGGGAGCGCGUCUGCAUGGCAUGCAGAAGGUCAGGGGUUCGACUCCCCUUGGCUCCA